GAUGAACGCUGGCGGCGUGCCUAAUACAUGCAAGUCGAGCGAACAGACGAGGAGCUUGCUCCCCUGACGUUAGCGGCGGACGGGUGAGUAACACGUGGAUAACCUAACUAUAAGACUGGGAUAACUUCGGGAAACCGGAGCUAAUACCGGAUAAUAUAUUGAACCGCAUUGUUCAAUAGUUAAAGAAGGUUUUUCUGUCACUUAUAGAUGGAUCCGCGCCGCAUUAGUUAGUAGGUAAGGUAACGGCUUACCAACGCGACGACGCGUAGCCGCCCUGAGAGGGUGAUCGGACACACGGUCAGUGAGAAAGGGUACAGACUCCGACAGGAGGCAGCAGUAGAGAAUCUUACGCAAAGGACGAGAGGCGAACAGUGCAACGCCGCGGGAGUGAUGAACGUCUAAGGAUGGUAGAACGCUGUUGUUAGGGAAGAACAAAUGUGUAAGUACCUAUGAAGGUAUUGACAGUACCGAAUCAGAAAGCCACGGCUAACUACGUG
RNAcentral lists this ribosomal RNA (497 nucleotides) under uncultured bacterium. RNAcentral's name for it is "partial 16S ribosomal RNA". It matches the Rfam family "Bacterial small subunit ribosomal RNA", at positions 28 to 507 of the family's 1533-position model. The record is from RNAcentral.